AUUGAACGCUGGCGGAAUGCUUUACACAUGCAAGUCGAACGGCAGCACGGACUUCGGUCUGGUGGUGAGUGGCGAACGGGUGAGUAAUACAUCGGAACGUGCCCAGUCGUGGGGGAUAACGUAGCGAAAGCUACGCUAAUACCGCAUACGAUCUAAGGAUGAAAGCGGGGGAUCGCAAGACCUCGCGCGAUUGGAGCGGCCGAUGGCAGAUUAGGUAGUUGGUAGGGUAAAGGCCUACCAAGCCGACGAUCUGUAGCUGGUCUGAGAGGAUGAUCAGCCACACUGGGACGGAGACACGGCCCAGACUCCUACGGGAGGCAGCAGUGGGGAAUUUUGGGCAAUGGGCGCAAGCCUGAUCCAGCCAUUCCGCGUGCAGGAUGAAGGCCUUCGGGUUGUAAACUGCUUUUGUACAGAACGAAAAGGCUCUGGUUAAUACCCGGGGCUCAUGACGGUACUGUAAGAAUAAGCACCGGCUAACUACUUGCCAGCCGCCGCCGUAA
RNAcentral lists this ribosomal RNA (500 nucleotides) under uncultured bacterium. Its description in RNAcentral is "partial 16S ribosomal RNA". It matches the Rfam family "Bacterial small subunit ribosomal RNA", at positions 30 to 523 of the family's 1533-position model. The record is from RNAcentral.